GUGUCAGCAGCCGCGGUAAGACGAACCGUGCGAACGUUGUUCGGAAUCACUGGGCUUAAAGGGCGCGUAGGCGGACCACCAAGUCCGGGGUGAAAUCCUCCGGCUUAACCGGAGAAUUGCCUGGGAUACUGGUGGUCUUGAGGGAGGUAGGGGCACGCGGAACUUCCGGUGGAGCGGUGAAAUGCGUUGAUAUCGGAAGGAACGCCGGUGGCGAAAGCGGCGUGCUGGCCCUCUUCUGACGCUGAGGCGCGAAAGCCAGGGGAGCGAACGGGAUUAGAUACCCCCGUAGUCC
RNAcentral lists this ribosomal RNA (292 nucleotides) under uncultured bacterium. RNAcentral's name for it is "partial 16S ribosomal RNA". It matches the Rfam family "Bacterial small subunit ribosomal RNA", at positions 505 to 796 of the family's 1533-position model. The record is from RNAcentral.